Camellia sinensis is the source of this 869-nucleotide non-coding RNA. NCBI's taxonomy places the organism in Eukaryota, Viridiplantae, Streptophyta, Magnoliopsida, Ericales, Theaceae. The record is from RefSeq and is a predicted model, not a curated record.
AAAAACAUGUCUGUCUCUCUCACUCUACGACUCUCGCUGUCUCUCACAUCUGCCCUCCUCCGAUUCUCUCUCUCGCUUUUGUCUCCAUCACCGUCGGUACAGAGCACCAUCGACGUCAACACCCGUCGCACACGAGGAUCGCAAACUAGCAGCCUAUAUCGUCUUAUCUCGCAGUCACGAUCCACCAUUGGAGUACUUGGGUUUGCUCUGAAAUGUCCAUAAACUGACCAUUUCGUAAAGAGAAUAAGAUCAAAAUUGUCAAGUAAUGUGGUUGCUAACUUGCUCUGCAUUUUGAGUUGGGCUUAUCAACAAGGCACUCAAGGGAUGUUUCUGGGUUUGAAUUUGCACUUGGGGCUUUGGGUUCAUUGCUAUCUUAUGCAGAACUACUUGCUGAUGAGAGCAAUUAUGGAAGUUAUAGUAUUUGAUAGUACUAUCUUCACAGCUACGUGAGAUUAGAUUCUACUACCAUGAGGGCUCUAAAUGUUAUGGAGAGCAAAACUGAUGCUAACAAAGCCAUCUUUUGUUUGCUAUUUUCCCGGGUAAGCUACCUCUUUUGUUGUAGUUUAUGAAUAUACACUUAAUCAGACAAUUAAAGUCUGACACGUGCAUCAUAUAGAGGAAAAAGACAUGAAUUUCUUAUUUUAGCUGAUUUUGGUUUAGUUUUGUAAUUGCUUCUUCAAUUGCCUUAACUUGUUUUGGGCAGAGUAUAAUUGGACUUGUUUUAGUUUGAGUGCUUUAUUUAAUUACAGAAGAGUUGUAUUGAGGUGUAAUUUGUAGCAUCUGUUCAAGUGAAUUUCCUUUGGAAUCAUAUGUGAACUUCUAGACUAAGAUGAUGUAUGACUUUUGAACUUUAUGGGACAAUUUUUUAA